CACCCUGUGUCUCACUGUGCCCAGCGUACCGGACGCCCUCCCCUCCUCCAGCACCCCGGUCCCUUCCGCCUCGGGGCCUUUCCUCAGCUCCUCUGUCAGCUUCCGUCUCAGCAUGGGGGAGACUCCCUGAUGACUCCCCCUAAAGUGGCCACCACUCUCUGGACCGGCUGUGUGGCAUCCCUACUGCCCUAAAGGACCACUGUCAGCUGUUCUUGUGAGUCCAACAGGAGGAAGUAGAGUGGAAUUUUUCCUGUUUGCCCAGAAUUGCAUAUUAGGCCCAAGCUCAGGGCAGAAACGCAGAGUUCCUUCCUGUGAUCCAAGGCUGGGAGCCGUGGCCCCGGGCAGCCCUGCCCGCAGACUGAUGGACAGGCACCCCCAGUGGCCUGCCCUGCCCCUCUGCAGUGAACUUGAGACUGGGGGUGGGGUGGCCCCAGGGCGAGUGCAGAGUUUGUGAUUAGAAUUCGUUCCCUCCCUCACCUUCCUGAGGCCAAGGGAAAGGUUUUCCAGGGCCCCUGCUGGCCAGGAAGAGUGGCCACCUGCCCCGGGCUGCCGCAGGGCUAGAGGGAGAGAGUGGGUUGUGCCUGUCCCCACGCCCGGCCAGCGCGCCAGGCGGAGAACUCGACCCACAGGCGCAGUGGGGGCUCAGGGCCCAAGCCAGGCUUGUGUUCUUGGGCUCUGUUUUAGAGACAUCUGCGUUCAGGGAGGAGGUACGGCUUUCCUGAGGCCAGCCCAGCCAGUGGCAGGACAAACUCCAGCCCGGCCCAGUGGCUUCAGACUGGCUCGCUCCCCGCUGGAGCUCCAGCCAGCCUCUACGACUGCCCACCGGGUGAGGGUGGGAGCACGGCUGCCUUCCUGGGCCCGGCCCCUCUGUUGGGUGCUGGGCGCUGCGAGAGCAGAUAAAUGUUCUUGAUGCAAGCAAAACAGGAAUGCUCUGAUCAUUUACCGAAGAUCACUGAGGCAAACAAACCUUUGUGAGAUCUCCAGACAGUGUACCAUCCCAGGCAGAAAGGUUAGUCUGAGGUGCGUGUUUAGUACUUCUGUGCUGAGGACAGUAGCCUCUGGCAAAACAGACAUCAGACUGUGGUAGACUUCCGAGCGCUAGACUUCCAUCUCUCUGUCCCCGUGCAGCUGGAGUUUCAAAUAGCACCUGUUACCCGUUUUUUAAAAAAAUGUCUACAGGAGUCUCAAUAGAUGCCCAUAAUGGAGAAAGCUAAGUCGCUCAGUUGUGUCCGACUGUUUGCGACCCCGUGGAUGUAGCCCACCAGGCUCCUCCGUCCAUGGGAUUCUCCAGGCAAGAAUACUGGAGUGGGUUGCCAUUUCCUUCUCCAGGGGAUCUUCCCGACCCAGGGAUCGAACCCAGGUCUCCCGCAUUGCAGGCAGACGCUUUAACCUCUGAGCAACCAAGGAAGCCCACCCAUAAUGGAGAGAUGGUACCAAAUCCCCAAUACCUCCGGCUUAUUUGGUUCCAGAAAUUUCUGAUUCUGAAGCUGUGACACCUUCCGUUUAUUUCUCCACCCUCAUGCUGUCAACCCUGAUAAACCUUGAGGACAUUAUGAUCAGUGAAAUAAGCCAGACACUAAAGGACAGAUAUUGUAUGAUUCUACUAAUACUAGGUGCCCAAAGUGGUCGAAUUCAUAGAAAGCAGGGUGGUGGUUACCAGGGGCUGGAGGCUGGGAAUUGGGAGUUGGUGUUUAAUGGGUGCAGUUUCAUUUGGAGAGAUGAAAAAGUUCAGAUAUGAUGCUGAUGGUGGUGCAGCCUUGUGAAUGUUCUUAAUGCCACUGAACUGUACACUCACAAAUGUUUAAAAUGGUAACGUUUGUCAUGUAUAUUUUUAACAAUUAAACACAACAAUACAAUUCUGUAAAGCAAUUAUCCUUCAAUAAAAAAGUUAAAAACCACCGCCAUGUUAAGGUGCUUCCUCAAGACACACACAGAUUUCACCUUACAGUUCUUUCCACUCAGUAUUUCUAAAGUAUUGCUUG
RNAcentral lists this long non-coding RNA (1982 nucleotides) under Bos grunniens (domestic yak). Its description in RNAcentral is "lncRNA (ENSBGRG00000016127.1)". The record is from RNAcentral. Lineage: Eukaryota; Metazoa; Chordata; Mammalia; Artiodactyla; Bovidae.